Molecule: ribosomal RNA, 403 nt
Filed under: bacterium
Lineage: Bacteria
Description: partial 16S ribosomal RNA
Rfam family: Bacterial small subunit ribosomal RNA
Source: RNAcentral
UGGGGAAUAUUGCACAAUGGAGGGAACUCUGAUGCAGCGACGCCGCGUGAACGAAGAAGGCUUUCGAGUCGUAAAGUUCUUUUAUAUGGGAAGAUAAUGACGGUACCAUAAGAAAAAGCCCCGGCUAACUACGUGCCAGCAGCCGCGGUAAUACGUAGGGGGCUAGCGUUGUCCGGAAUCACUGGGCGUAAAGGGUUCGCAGGCGGAAAUGCAAGUCAGGUGUAAAAGGCAGUAGCUUAACUACUGUAAGCAUUUGAAACUGCAUAUCUUGAGAAGAGUAGAGGUAAGUGGAAUUUUUAGUGUAGCGGUGAAAUGCGUAGAUAUUAAAAGGAAUACCGGUGGCGAAGUCGACUUACUGGGCUCAUUCUGACGCUGAGGAACGAAAGCGUGGGUAGCAAACAGG